CCUACGGGAGGCAGCAGUGGGGAAUAUUGGGCAAUGGGCGCAAGCCUGACCCAGCAACGCCGCGUGAAGGAAGAAGGCUUUCGGGUUGUAAAAUUCUUUUGUCAGGGACGCAGCAAGUGACGGUACCUGACGAAUAAGCCUCGGCUAACUACGGGCCAGCAGCCGCGGCAAUACGUAAGGGGCAAGAGGUAUCCGGAUUUACUGGGGGUAAAGGGCGUGUAGGCGGGACUGGAAGGCAGAUGGGAAAACCACGGGGUCAACCUGUGUCCUGCAUUUGAAACUGUAGUUCUUGAGUGCUGGAGAGGCAGACGGAAUUCCUAGUGUAGCGGUGAAAUGCGUAGAUAUUAGGAGGAACACCAGUGGCGAAGGCAGUAUGCUGGACAGCAACUGACGCUGAGGCGCGAAAGCGUGGGGAGCAAACAGGAUUAGAUACCCUUGUAGUC
RNAcentral lists this ribosomal RNA (443 nucleotides) under uncultured bacterium. Its description in RNAcentral is "partial 16S ribosomal RNA". It matches the Rfam family "Bacterial small subunit ribosomal RNA", at positions 338 to 795 of the family's 1533-position model. The record is from RNAcentral.